Long non-coding RNA from Papilio machaon (common yellow swallowtail), 505 nucleotides. RefSeq lists it as uncharacterized. The transcript has 3 exons. The record is from RefSeq and is a predicted model, not a curated record. NCBI's taxonomy places the organism in Eukaryota, Metazoa, Arthropoda, Insecta, Lepidoptera, Papilionidae.
UGAUCGUUACCGUGAUGAUCGUUGUAGUCGCAACGAGUUGAAUCGAGAUCAGAAUCGUAGCUGUGUUCGCGAAUCAUGGGUAGCGUGGACCAAGCCAUGGAUUCUACAUGGGAAUAUCUGGGUAGUGAGGUACACGCGCCGUCUGUGUAUUUCACAGCAGACAGGAUUGUGGACGCGAUCUCUUCAAUUUGUACUGCGGAUGUGAAUACAUUUUACCCGCUACGAUACUGAAGGGGCCUGGUGGCGUGGUAAAGGUUUACAACUUGGGCGUGAAGGACGUGGAAUUCAAGGCGGGGCAGGUGCUUGUUCGCGGACAAAGCUGUGUGGAGGUAUUGGGCAGAAAAGAAAACGAAAUUGAUGGCCGAGCUGUUACGCCAUCUACAUCCGCCUGCUGAGCCUGCACGUAGCAGAGCGGAGCUACAACGCCAUCUACAUCCGCCUACUCGCCAGCAAAACGGAAGUCGUCGCUGAUCAAUCUUUAAUGCCAACGAUAUCGUCACAUCCC